Molecule: ribosomal RNA, 507 nt
Filed under: uncultured bacterium
Lineage: Bacteria
Description: partial 16S ribosomal RNA
Source: RNAcentral
GGAGUUAGCCGGUGCUUCUUCUGUGAGUGAUGUCCUUCCUGCCGGUUAUUGACCCGCAGGCCUUCUUCCUCACUGAAAGUGCUUUACAACCCGAAGGCCUUCUUCACACACGCGGCAUGGCUGGAUCAGGGUUGCCCCCAUUGUCCAAUAUUCCCCACUGCUGCCUCCCGUAGGAGUCUGGGCCGUGUCUCAGUCCCAGUGUGGCUGAUCAUCCUCUCAGACCAGCUACGGAUCGUCGCCUUGGUGAGCCGUUACCUCACCAACCAGCUAAUCCGACAUAGGCUCAUCCGAUAGCGCGAGGCCCGAAGGUCCCCCGCUUUCCCCCGUAGGGCGUAUGCGGUAUUAGCCUGGGUUUCCCCAGGUUAUCCCCCACUACCCGGGCAGAUUCCUAUGCAUUACUCACCCGUCCGCCGCUCGCCACCAGGGAGCAAGCUCACCGUGCUGCCGCUCGACUUGCAUGUGUUAGGCCUGCCGCCACGCGUCAUCUGAGCAGAAUACAACUACUGA